UAGGUGAACCCGCCAAGUAGGCUGGAGGUA
This 30-nucleotide non-coding RNA is filed under the name Homo sapiens (human). The record is from RNAcentral. Lineage: Eukaryota; Metazoa; Chordata; Mammalia; Primates; Hominidae.